This 557-nucleotide ribosomal RNA is filed under the name uncultured bacterium. RNAcentral's name for it is "partial 16S ribosomal RNA". It matches the Rfam family "Bacterial small subunit ribosomal RNA", at positions 356 to 928 of the family's 1533-position model. The record is from RNAcentral.
UGGGAAUAUUGCACAAUGGGCGAAAGCCUGAUGCAGCAACGCCGCGUGAGUGAUGAAGGCCUUCGGGUGUAAAGCUCUGUCUUUUGGGACGAUAAUGACGGUACCAAAGGAGGAAGCCACGGCUAACUACGUGCCAGCAGCCGCGGUAAUACGUAGGUGGCAAGCGUUGUCCGGAUUUACUGGGCGUAAAGGAUGCGUAGGCGGAUUUUUAAGUGAGAUGUGAAAAACCCUAAGCUUAACUUGGGGACUGCAUUUCAUACUGGAAAUCUAGAGUGCGGGAGAGGAGAAUGGAAUUCCUAGUGUAGCGGUGAAAUGCGUAGAGAUUAGGAAGAACACCAGUGGCGAAGGCGAUUCUCUGGACCGUAACUGACGCUGAGGCAUGAAAGCGUGGGUAGCAAACAGGAUUAGAUACCCUGGUAGUCCACGCCGUAAACGAUGAGUACUAGGUGUAGGAGGUAUCGACCCCUUCUGUGCCGCAGUUAACACAAUAAGUACUCCGCCUGGGAAGUACGAUCGCAAGAUUAAAAACUCAAAUGAAUUGACGGGGGUCAUAGCUG